RNAcentral lists this long non-coding RNA (537 nucleotides) under Zonotrichia albicollis (white-throated sparrow). Its description in RNAcentral is "lncRNA (ENSZALG00000018068.1)". The record is from RNAcentral. Lineage: Eukaryota; Metazoa; Chordata; Aves; Passeriformes; Passerellidae.
CACGGUCGCUGCAGCAGGAGCAGCACGUUGGGCCCUCCAUCACUUGCCGCUGGAGGCAUUUGUGGGAUUUGGGACAUAGUUUGACAUCUAGUGGUAACGUGUGGAAUAAUCCCAGAGCUCGUACGGCGAGUACAAGGGUCACAGUCCUGCAUCAGCAAAGGGCUAACUCCUGAACCAUUUGGACCAUGCAGUGUGGCUGUGCAUCCUCAGUGUUGGACUCUGGAGAGGACAACAGACAGCAAGGCUUUGAAGUCUUUCACAGCCCUUGGCCUUACGUGGGGUCCAAGGGAGGAAGGGGUCAAGCCACAUGGGAUACUCCUGAUCAGUUUAUAAGGAGCCUUGAGGUACAGUUGCUUUUGUUAGCAGGGACUGGACUGUAUCACCUUGGAAAACUCUUGCAUUCAAAUGUUCCCAAAUCACUGCACAUUGCAGCAGCAGGACAGUAGCGUGUCCAUUAUAAAAGCCUGUAGGAAUUUCUGUCCAUUGCAAGCUAAACUUCGGGUCAUACUCCUGGUUCUUCCCACUGCAGGCUGAAUA